RNAcentral lists this ribosomal RNA (458 nucleotides) under uncultured bacterium. Its description in RNAcentral is "SSU rRNA". It matches the Rfam family "Bacterial small subunit ribosomal RNA", at positions 26 to 518 of the family's 1533-position model. The record is from RNAcentral.
AGAACGAACGUUGGCGGCGUGGAUGAGGCAUGCAAGUCGCGGGAAUCCCCAGCAAUGGGGGGAACCGGCGUAAGGGGCAGUAAGGCGUAGGUACCUACCCCCAGGUCCGGGAUAGCCCGCCGAGAGGCGGGGUAAUACCGGAUGACCUCGGGAGAGCAAAGCUCCGGCGCCUGAGGCGGGGCCUACGUGAUAUUACCUAGUUGGCGGGGUAACGGCCCACCAAGGGGGAGAUGUCUAGCGGGUGUGAGAGCACGACCCGCGCCACUCGCACUGAGACACUGGCGAGACACCUACGGGUGGCUGCAGUCGAGGAUCUUCGGCAAUGCGCGCAAGCGCGACCGAGCGACGCCGCGUGGGCGACGAAGGCCUUCGGGUGUAAAGCCCUGUCGAGGGGGAGAAAGCCGCAAGGCGGAUCCAUCCCUGGAGGAAGCUCGGGCUAAGUUCGUGCCAGCAGCCGC